AGCUAGUAUAGCUCAAUUGGUAGAGCAGCUGAUUUGUAAUCAGCAGGUUAUGGGUUCAAUUCCCUUUACUAGCUA
This 75-nucleotide transfer RNA is filed under the name Sonderella linearis. RNAcentral describes it as "tRNA-Thr". It matches the Rfam family "tRNA". From Rfam's summary of the family: Transfer RNA (tRNA) molecules are approximately 80 nucleotides in length. The record is from RNAcentral. Lineage: Eukaryota; Rhodophyta; Florideophyceae; Ceramiales; Rhodomelaceae.